GACGAACGCUGGCGGCGUGCUUAACACAUGCCAGUCGAACGGAAAGGCCCUGCUUUUGUGGGGUGCUCGAGUGGCGAACGGGUGAGUAACACGUGAGUAACCUGCCCUUGACUUUGGGAUAACUUCAGGAAACUGGGGCUAAUACCGGAUAGGAGCUCCUGCUGCAUGGUGGGGGUUGGAAAGUUUCGGCGGUUGGGGAUGGACUCGCGGCUUAUCAGCUUGUUGGUGGGGUAGUUGCUUACCAAGGCUUUGCCGGGUAGCCGGCAUGAGAGGGUUACCGGCAACAAUGGGACUGAGAGACGGACCAGACUACUACGGGAGGCAGCAGUGGGGAAUAUUGCACAAUGGGCGGAAGCCUGAUGCAGCAACGCGGCGUGCGGGAAGACGGCCUUCGGGUUGUAAACCGAUUUAGAAUGUGACGAAGAGUGAGUGACGGUAAUGGGUAAAGAAGCACCGGCUAACUACGUG
RNAcentral lists this ribosomal RNA (468 nucleotides) under uncultured bacterium. RNAcentral describes it as "partial 16S ribosomal RNA". It matches the Rfam family "Bacterial small subunit ribosomal RNA", at positions 28 to 507 of the family's 1533-position model. The record is from RNAcentral.